CUCAAAGAUGUCUCUACAAUGGGCUCCAGGUUUGAUCUAAUCAAAUUCGAUUUCGUAUUUUUACUUAUCUGUGUCAGUUCUUCUACUUGUCGAACUUCAUCAAGCUCAACCUUAGCAAUAUCAGUUCUUUCCUCAAGGAACUCUUUUUCCAAAAAGAAAACCUCAAGACCCACGAAUGCCAUUUAUUCGUUAGGAAGGUAGAAGUAAUAUCUUCUUAUUUCCUUAGGAUGUCCUACGAAA
RNAcentral lists this long non-coding RNA (240 nucleotides) under Elaeis guineensis (African oil palm). Its description in RNAcentral is "long non-coding RNA (EGUI_LNC034185)". Lineage: Eukaryota; Viridiplantae; Streptophyta; Magnoliopsida; Arecales; Arecaceae. The record is from RNAcentral.